Molecule: ribosomal RNA, 448 nt
Filed under: Ophelimus eucalypti
Lineage: Eukaryota; Metazoa; Arthropoda; Insecta; Hymenoptera; Eulophidae
Description: eukaryotic LSU rRNA
Source: RNAcentral
CCUGAGAAACCCAAAAGAUCGAAUGGGGAGAUUCAUCGUCAGCGGCGUUGGCUUCCGUGUGGCUCGCGAUGGCCGGGACCUCGGUCCCGUGUCACGCGGUCGCUGCGGUAUGUCCGGCGUCGUCUGCGUGCACUUCUCCCCUAGUAGGACGUCGCGACCCGUUGGGUGUCGGACCGAUGGUCGUUUGGUCGACUGUUUCGUCUUGCUUACGCUUGCACGGGGCAGACCAAUGCGGCCGAUAGUCCGGCUGCCCGGCGGUAUAUUAACGCUUUCGAACGGUAUCGAGCCGCAUUACGUGCGUUCAGGCUCGUCGGCAGGCUCGUCUCGCUCGGAUUUACGGACCUGGUGCCGUUGCCGGGUGCUUGGCGGGCCGUCAGUCCACGGUGUCCUCGGACUGGCUCUUGAUUUACGAUUACCGGUCGGCGACGCUACUGCUUUGGGUACUUUC